GACGAACCCUGGCGGCGUGCUUAACACAUGCAAGUCGAACGGAAAGGCCCUGCUUUUGUGGGGUGCUCGAGUGGCGAACGGGUGAGUAACACGUGAGUAACCUGCCCUUGACUUUGGGAUAACUUCAGGAAACUGGGGCAAAUACCGGAUAGGAGCUCCUGCUGCAUGGCGGGGGUUGGAAAGUUUCGGCGGUUGGGGAUGGACUCGCGGCUUAUCAGCUUGUUGGUGGGGUAGUGGCUUACCAAGGCUUUGACGGGUAGCCGGCCUGAGAGGGUGACCGGCCACAUUGGGACUGAGAUACGGCCCAGACUCCUACGGGAGGCAGCAGUGGGGAAUAUUGCACAAUGGGCGGAAGCCUGAUGCAGCAACGCCGCGUGCGGGAUGACGGCCUUCGGGUUGUAAACCGCUUUCGCCUGUGACGAAGCGUGAGUGACGGUAAUGGGUAAAGAAGCACCGGCUAACUACGUGCCAGCAGCCGCGGUGAUACGUAGGGUGCGAGCGUUGUCCGGAUUUAUUGGGCGUAAAGGGCUCGUAGGUGGUUGAUCGCGUCGGAAGUGUAAUCUUGGGGCUUAACCCUGAGCGUGCUUUCGAUACGGGUUGACUUGAGGAAGGUAGGGGAGAAUGGAAUUCCUGGUGGAGCGGUGGAAUGCGCAGAUAUCAGGAGGAACACCAGUGGCGAAGGCGGUUCUCUGGGCCUUUCCUGACGCUGAGGAGCGAAGGCGUGGGGAGCGAACAGGCUUAGAUACCCUGGUAGUCCACGCUGUAAACGGUGGGUACUAGGUGUGGGGUCCAUUCCACGGGUUCCGUGCCGUAGCUAACGCUUUAAGUACCCCGCCUGGGGAGUACGGCCGCAAGGCUAAAACUCAAAGGAAUUGACGGGGCCCCGCACAAGCGGCGGAGCAUGCGGAUUAAUUCGAUGCAACGCGUAGAACCUUACCUGGGUUUGACAUGGAUCGGGAGUGCUCAGAGAUGGGUGUGCCUCUUUUGGGGUCGGUUCACAGGUGGUGCAUGCCUGUCGGCAGCUCGUGUCGUGAGAUGUUGGGUUAAGUCCCGCAACGAGCGCAACCCUUGUUCACUGUUGCCAGCACGUUAUGGUGGGGACUCAGUGGAGACCGCCGGGGUCAACUCGGAGGAAGGUGGGGAUGACGUCAAGUCAUCAUGCCCCUUAUGUCCAGGGCUUCACGCAUGCUACAAUGGCUGGUACAGAGAGUGGCGAGCCUGUGAGGGUGAGCGAAUCUCGGAAAGCCGGUCUCAGUUCGGAUUGGGGUCUGCAACUCGACCUCAUGAAGUCGGAGUCGCUAGUAAUCGCAGAUCAGCAACGCUGCGGUGAAUACGUUCCCGGGGCU
Molecule: ribosomal RNA, 1346 nt
Filed under: uncultured bacterium
Lineage: Bacteria
Description: partial 16S ribosomal RNA
Rfam family: Bacterial small subunit ribosomal RNA
Source: RNAcentral